AUGACAGUUUCUGUUGAUGAAAUCAAAUUUGAAGACCCUCAAGCUCCAAACAGAGCCUUGAACCACAGCACCAAUGAAAAAAAUAAGUCUGCCAACAGCAUGAAGGAAAUGGAUAAGAAUCAACAAAACGCUGCUCUCCCGUCUCCUGUUCUGAAGCUUCUCCCUCCGUCCACUGAAGAGCUGAAGACUAAAAAAGCCACUCUAGUGUGUUUGGCCAGCGACAUGUCUGUCGGUUUCGCUGAUGUGAGUUGGCUCGUGGACGGGAACUCGGUCACCAGUGGAGUCGUCACCGGCUCUGCACAGCAGCAGGACAAUAAGAAGUUCACACUGAGCAGCUAUUUGACCAUCGACAGCUGCGAGUGGGACAACGACAAAGUCAUAACGUGUGAAGUGUCUGCUGGAGGAAAAGCCGCAUCGGUGAAGAUUAACAAGUCCGAAUGCAGUGAAUGA
This is a non-coding RNA of Tachysurus fulvidraco (yellow catfish), 450 nucleotides long. Lineage: Eukaryota; Metazoa; Chordata; Actinopteri; Siluriformes; Bagridae. The record is from the annotation of a RefSeq genome assembly.